UUAGGAAUAUUCGUCAAUGGGGGAAACCCUGAACGAGCAAUGCCGCGUGAAGGAUGACGGUCCUAUGGAUUGUAAACUUCUGUUGUUAGGGAAGAACGACCUGUGUAGGAAAUGACACAGGAGUGACGGUACCUUUCAAGAAAGCUCCGGCUAACUACGUG
Molecule: ribosomal RNA, 161 nt
Filed under: uncultured Bifidobacterium sp.
Lineage: Bacteria; Bacillati; Actinomycetota; Actinomycetes; Bifidobacteriales; Bifidobacteriaceae
Description: partial 16S ribosomal RNA
Rfam family: Bacterial small subunit ribosomal RNA
Source: RNAcentral